GCGGUCGUGGUGUAGCCCGGUUAACACAUCUCCCUGUCACGGAGAAGAUCGAGGGUUCAAAUCCCUUCGACCGCG
Non-coding RNA from Candidatus Kaiserbacteria bacterium, 75 nucleotides. The record is from Rfam. Lineage: Bacteria; Candidatus Kaiseribacteriota.